CGUUGGCAGCUGCAGGGCAAGGUGAGCGGCUGACUCACCUGGUGGAAGCAGAGCUUACACUUAGGACAUACGAUGCAGUACUACAGUGGAUAUUGAGAAAAAGGCCUUCCCAAAUCUGAAGGCAUGGAUGAAAAGUAUCUCCUAGACCUUCAGGCUACCUUCAAGUUUACUCCAAAACCCUGUCAUCCUUGCUACUGUCACUGGUUUCUAGAGACCGUCUCUUUACCUCAGAUGACCUUCUCUCUGUGUCCCUGAUUGUGCUGCGGGACCGCGAUAACUCUUGACCUAUCUGCUCAAUUAUCGGGGCAUUCUACACCAUGGGCCGGAAUACCAGCUUCCAUUUGAACUGUUCCUCAAGGGCUCACAUGUCGGGGGCUGAGUUGCCAACUGAUGUGCUUAGAGGGUGUGAACGGAUCCUGAGGACUCUGACCUAAUCAGUAGAUUAAUUCCUUCACGGAUUCGUAAUCUGCCAUCGUUAUUGGAGUUCAUUGGGUUGGACUGUCUAAUCCAUCCUCACCCUAGGCUGGGGCUCAGAGACACGGAAGAGGAGACCCCCCGACGGCACCACUUUACCCCUGGAUUAUUCAGCCCUUGAAAACUUGUGGGGACUGGAAGAAUGCGUCUCUACUCACGCACAUCCACACAGACACACUCUGGAGGACACACCAUCUCCAGGGGUCAGAAACACGAUAGAAGCCCGGGUCUCGGGAGACUUGUGAAGUCCACCAAGAUCACAGGAAGGGCGGAGAGCAAAGUUGCAGAUCUGACUGUGGUGACCUCCGGAGGCCUGGGAGGGGCUGGAGGGUGGCUGCUCCUUCUGAAGAUGAAGGGAAGCCACAGACUCAUGUAGGAGUCAGAGUAAACAGCAUUAUCUCGGAGGCUCUUCCUUGAUGACUUAUUCAGAGACAACAAUCCUGAUGAUCCCUGAUGGAGGCACCUGCUAAUUGCCAUCGCUGCAUUUCCGCAUGUAUUUGCUCAUCAUAAUGAUGUCUACCCACCUGGUGCUGUGAGGACCCAGGCGGGCCUGUGGCUGUCUUUCCCCUGCCU
This is a non-coding RNA of Peromyscus maniculatus bairdii (prairie deer mouse), 1047 nucleotides long. NCBI's taxonomy places the organism in Eukaryota, Metazoa, Chordata, Mammalia, Rodentia, Cricetidae. The record is from RefSeq and is a predicted model, not a curated record.